AAAAGCUGCAUCUCAUUCUCAAACUCUGAAAAUAAAAGAAAAAAAGUAAGAAACUCUCACUGCCUUUUGGAUUUCGCAAACUAAGCAGCACGUUUCUUUUUGUAUUUCUGUUUUGCCUUUUGGAUUUGCAUAUAUGUUGUUUCUAAAUGAUUUCCCAGACUACAUAGUAGUUUUAGGUAUUUUAGCUUCUGGAAAUACAUGGGUUUAUGCUUCCAUGCUUGAGUUUUUCGAGUUAAGAAGAAAUUUUGGUUCGGGCAUUUCAACAAACACAUAGAAGGCAAAGUAUAUAACAGAUUGUGGGUGAAAAUUUUAGUUUCAAUUUCGAACACUACAUAGAAGUUCUAUUUCUUUUGGGUCUUGUGCAUUUCGACAAAAAUGCAUGUAGUUUUGCAGUUUAAUGAUUUGGCUAAAUUUUGAUUAAGGUAUCGUAGCUUCUAGAUUUCAACAAAACCAUGGGUUUAUGCUGUCAAGAAAUGUGUAGUUUAACCACUUUUGUUUAUGCUCGAGGUUUUUGGGAUAUUCCAUGUUGUUUUCGGUUUUCAGUUACUGGUUUGAUCGGUUAAGGAUGUUUCCUACUACCUAAUGGCUUGUAGUUUUUGGUUUUGAGUUGCUUUAUAGGUUGUAGAGUCCAUUACUUCAAAAGAUACAGAGGUGUUUAUGAACAAAGGCUUAGCUAGUGAACCUAUGAAGCUCUUUAAACAGAUAAACAAUGUUUUCUGAAUAUUACCAGACUAUUUGAGGAAGCAAGAAUUGUAAGCCAACUUGGGUCUUCUUCAAAUCUGUUUUGUAAGAAGGAAAUACAGAGAAAGAGG
RNAcentral lists this long non-coding RNA (812 nucleotides) under Prunus persica (peach). RNAcentral describes it as "long non-coding RNA (PPER_LNC005919)". The record is from RNAcentral. Lineage: Eukaryota; Viridiplantae; Streptophyta; Magnoliopsida; Rosales; Rosaceae.